RNAcentral lists this ribosomal RNA (464 nucleotides) under Alsodes monticola (Island spiny-chest frog). RNAcentral describes it as "partial 16S ribosomal RNA". It matches the Rfam family "Bacterial large subunit ribosomal RNA", at positions 1914 to 2542 of the family's 2925-position model. Lineage: Eukaryota; Metazoa; Chordata; Amphibia; Anura; Alsodidae. The record is from RNAcentral.
GUGACUCUGUUCAACGGCCGCGGUAUCCUAACCGUGCGAAGGUAGCGUAAUCGCUUGUUCUUUAAAUGAGGACUAGUAUGAAUGGCACCACGAGGGUUAUACUGUCUCCUUUUUCCAAUCAGUGAAACUAAUCUCCCCGUGAAGAAGCGGGGAUUAAUUUAUAAGACGAGAAGACCCUAUGGAGCUUUAAACAAGAUAACAAUUGCUAAUUAAUAUACUUAAGAAAACUAGACUUCACCUCACUCUGAUUAUCAGUUUUAGGUUGGGGUGACCGCGGAGUAAAAAUUAACCUCCACAUUGAAAUGGGUCCUAAGCAAGAAGCUACAACUUUAUGCAUCAGAAAACUGACAUUAAUUGACCCAAUAUUUUGAUCAAAAAACCAAGUUACCCUACGGAUAACAGCGCGGUCCAAAACAAGAGCAAAGAACGACAAGUGGGUUUAAGACCUCGAUGUUGGAUCAGGG